GGGCACUUAGCUCAGUUGGUACGAGCGCUUCCUUCACACGGAAGAGGUCAGAGGUUCGAGCCCUCUAGUGCCCACCA
Molecule: transfer RNA, 77 nt
Filed under: Bacillota bacterium
Lineage: Bacteria; Bacillati; Bacillota
Description: tRNA-Val
Rfam family: tRNA
About the family: Transfer RNA (tRNA) molecules are approximately 80 nucleotides in length. Their secondary structure includes four short double-helical elements and three loops (D, anti-codon, and T loops).
Source: RNAcentral